Molecule: ribosomal RNA, 253 nt
Filed under: uncultured bacterium
Lineage: Bacteria
Description: partial 16S ribosomal RNA
Rfam family: Bacterial small subunit ribosomal RNA
Source: RNAcentral
UACGUAGGGGGCAAGCGUUGUCCGGAAUCAUUGGGCGUAAAGAGCGCGCAGGCGGUCGUUCAAGUCGCGUGUGAAAGCCCCCGGCUCAACUGGGGAGGGUCACGCGAUACUGAUCGACUCGAAGGCAGGAGAGGGAAGUGGAAUUCCCGGUGUAGCGGUGAAAUGCGUAGAUAUCAGGAGGAACACCGGUGGCGAAGGCGGCUAUCUGGACAGAAACUGACGCUGAGGCGCGAAAGCUAGGGGAGCAAACAGG